AUGUGCACUAAAAACAAUUCCAGUUGCUUAAAUUCAACACUGGAAUUUAAAUCAGAAAGCUGGAUACUGAAGCGAGGGAAUUCUUCCGAUCAAAGACCCAGAAAUGCUAUGGCAACAGGGGCCUCUGAGAAGCCUCGGAGCUUGGGCUUCAGGUAUGCGCUCCACCCACCCGCUCCGGCACACGGCUGUGUUCAGGAAUUGCUCCACUUCCUGAAGCUCCGCACACGGGGAGACCAGAAUUUCAGCCCGGAGGGAGGAGGGGCCCUACUGUGCCCGCCGCUCCCAGUCGAGGCGACCCGGGGCGACCCGAGGGUCACGGGUGCUUUUCGCCAUCUUGUUUGCAUCUCCUGGGCAAAGGUGCGAUCUAAAGGCUUCGAUCAACGCGAGUCCGAUGUCUGCAGCGAUGGCGGUAGUGGCCUCGAAGUGGCUCGGAAGGGUUAUCCCGCGCGCCGCGACGUUCAGCUCUCGGUAGGAGACUUCCAUGGUUGGUAAAAUUUGCAAGAAUUUGUCUGGCUCAGCACUUCUCCCCCCUCCGAGCACUUGCCAAGGACGGUGGACGUGCUAGGGAGACCAGAUGUCCCCCAUCACUGCUCUGCACCCCGAGUGAUGAACACCUGUGCUUGCCGUUCUCCUACAUGACUGAAGCCUAUUUUCGUCCCAUCGAUCAUUAAUUGUAAAUUGGGGGACCUCAGUAUAUCAAAGAAAAAUAUUUUGUUUUGGUUCAUUUUCAGGUCUAGAGAAAUUGCUUAUCCUCACCUAUAAACUCUUCUGUGUGCUGGGAGUCAGGUUCCCUCCUGUGUCUAAAUCACUUCUCAUAGUAAAGCACCAACAGUUCUCUGGUGACCUGAAAGAAUUCCUGACCCCUGGCCCCCAACACUCAACUUCGCACACGGUCACUGGCGCCAGGCGGACAGGGCCUCCCGCUGUUACAGGCAUGCACACUCCAUCCCCGACGCUGCACACGGGUGUCCCACCAACGCCCGCAUGGCGCUGAUGGAGAUCUGGUGUCUGUGUUUCCCAGGAGCUAGGUGGGCUUGUACCUGUUCUUCUAAGUUAUAGAUUUCUUUCUGAAACACCGUCUCACUAUGUAGCCCAGGCUGGCUUUGAACUCCUGGCGAUGCUUCUGCCUCAGCCUUCUUUGUGCUGGGAUGACAGGCCUGCACCACCCAGCCUGGCAAAAUUAUACAAAAUGUUCUAUUCUGAUCAGGGAAUAGCAGAUGAAAGGAGAAUAAUAUAAACACUUUCCAAAGAUCCACUUUAUGCCGGACACUAAACUAAGCACUUUACAUAUUCUAAUAAAACUCUCUGAAGUAGGCAAGAACUUGCAGUAGGGAAAUUCAGUGAACACUCAGGAUCACGCAGUAAGUGGUGGUUCCAACAUGGGAAUCAGGCCUGACACACAGCCCGUGCACCUUGUGCCGUGUGACACAGCCUUCCCCAGCCCUGCUCCCGGCCACAACUGCUAUAACAACGACUUUCUCCUGUUUUAUCUCUUUAGGACUCCAACCAGCCUGUGGCAGAUUUCUUGAUUUAGGUUCCACCUCUGUGGUCUUUAAAACCACCUGCUCUCUGCGGAGACCACAAGCACACUGUGUAGCUCUUCCUGUCCAGAUGGAGAUCUGUUCCCUUCCUCUGCCUGGGGCCUGCCUAUGUGAUGCUCUAAACAGUAGAGGCAGGGGCACACGAAUGACCCUGCUUCUUAUCAGAUGGGUCACCUAGCUGGGCCCAGCCACGUUGCCAACCCACAGAACGGGGAGUGCAAUGCUUGCUGUUUUAAGCCACUGGGUUUUGGGGUGGUUUGGUACACAGCAAAAGCUAACUGAUACAGCUUCUCUGGCCUAGAUUAAGAGACUCUUUGCAGUUAAAAACAGAUGUGGAUAGACCCAAAGGUCAUUGAAAAUUUACUAAUGAUGGCUUAUUCAUCUAUUCUGCUUCCUACAAGUCCAGUCUGAUUCAACGUUAGUACUCCCUAAAACCACAUAGGUUAUAUAGUUAAAAAGCUGACAAUGGCUAGAUGUGGUGGUGCAAGCACUAGGGAGGCUGAGGCAGGAGGAUGGCUUCAAGCCUGAGGCCAGCCUGGGAGUUCAAGACCAGCCUGAACUAUAUACAAACAAACAGUCACAAACGACAAACAGAAGGUGACAGUGAACUCACGCAGCCUUCCCCUCUCCUAUGCUCCUUGAGGCAACUCUUAUCUCCUCAUAGCACCCAGCACAAUCCUCCUGUAUAUCACAUAUCCACAGAAAACAAUUCCCGAGCAAUAGAAGAGAGAUUAUUUUAAUCCCUAAGGAACCUAAAACCUUCCAACCACUUUGAAGGACAGUGUAGUCAUAGCCUUAGUGUUAAAAUCUGGCA
Molecule: long non-coding RNA, 2355 nt
Organism: Chinchilla lanigera (long-tailed chinchilla)
Lineage: Eukaryota; Metazoa; Chordata; Mammalia; Rodentia; Chinchillidae
Source: Ensembl